Molecule: transfer RNA, 18 nt
Filed under: Microctenopoma nanum
Lineage: Eukaryota; Metazoa; Chordata; Actinopteri; Anabantiformes; Anabantidae
Description: partial tRNA-Thr
Source: RNAcentral
GCAUUAGUAGCUAGCCCA